RNAcentral lists this ribosomal RNA (370 nucleotides) under uncultured organism. RNAcentral describes it as "bacterial SSU rRNA". It matches the Rfam family "Bacterial small subunit ribosomal RNA", at positions 526 to 895 of the family's 1533-position model. The record is from RNAcentral.
CGUAGGGUGCGAGCGUUAAUCGGAAUUACUGGGCGUAAAGCGUGCGCAGGCGGUUUGUUAAGAUAGGCGUGAAAUCCCCGGGCUCAACCUGGGAACUGCGCUUAUGACUGGCAAGCUAGAGUACGGCAGAGGGGGGUGGAAUUCCACGUGUAGCAGUGAAAUGCGUAGAGAUGUGGAGGAACACCAAUGGCGAAGGCAGCCCCCUGGGUCGAUACUGACGCUCAUGUACGAAAGCGUGGGUAGCAAACAGGAUUAGAUACCCUGGUAGUCCACGCCCUAAACGAUGUCAACUAGGUGUUGGGAGGGUAAACCUUUUAGUACCGGAGCUAACGCGUGAAGUUGACCGCCUGGGGAGUACGGCCGCAAGGUU